CGGCUCGACUCUCCCACCCUUUGUGAACGUACCUCUGUUGCUUUGGCGGCUCCGGCCGCCAAAGGACCUUCAAACUCCAGUCAGUAAACGCAGACGUCUGAUAAACAAGUUAAUAAACUAAAACUUUCAACAACGGAUCUCUUGGUUCUGGCAUCGAUGAAGAACGCAGCGAAAUGCGAUAAGUAAUGUGAAUUGCAGAAUUCAGUGAAUCAUCGAAUCUUUGAACGCACAUUGCGCCCCUUGGUAUUCCGGGGGGCAUGCCUGUUCGAGCGUCAUUACAACCCUCAAGCUCUGCUUGGAAUUGGGCACCGUCCUCACUGCGGACGCGCCUCAAAGACCUUCGGCGGUGGCUGUUCAGCCCUCAAGCGUAGUAGAAUACACCUCGCUUUGGAGCGGUUGGCGUCGCCCGCCGGACGAACCUUCUGAACUUUUCUCAAGGUUGACCUCGGAUCAGGUAGGGAUACCCGCUGAACUUAAGCAUAUCAA
RNAcentral lists this ribosomal RNA (486 nucleotides) under Lasiodiplodia theobromae. RNAcentral's name for it is "eukaryotic LSU rRNA". The stretch from base 122 to 275 matches the Rfam family "5.8S ribosomal RNA". Lineage: Eukaryota; Fungi; Ascomycota; Dothideomycetes; Botryosphaeriales; Botryosphaeriaceae. The record is from RNAcentral.